Molecule: long non-coding RNA, 975 nt
Organism: Passer domesticus (house sparrow)
Lineage: Eukaryota; Metazoa; Chordata; Aves; Passeriformes; Passeridae
Exons: 5
Source: RefSeq, a predicted model, not a curated record
UCCCGGGACAGCGCUCCCUGCUCCCUGGGAAGUGCUGGGGAUGGUUUUGCCCAGGGCUUUUGGGAGGGUUUCCUCUGUGGGAGGGAGACCCCAGAGGUCUGGGGCUUCCUCAGUUUCCACUCCAAGGAUGUUUCACAGAGCUCGGAAAUAGUGUGGAGAGUGACCGGGGCAAGGCCAUAGCUCCCCAUCCCCCGGUACCGCUUUGGUCAUGGCCAUUGACAUCUGGCUCCCAUGGCCUUAUCCGACCCAUCCUCAUGAAGAGGAACUACCUUUCUCUAAUGUCCUCGAAGAGACAAGACCCAAGACACAGAAGACAAAAAAUCCCUGGAGGCAGCCAAACAUCUGGACCAGAUGAUGAGUGCACAGGUGAGGGUGCUGGGAUGGCUUCUCCAGCAGUGGGGAUGGAAGAUGAUUUGGAGCCCUUGGGAAUUUCUGCAGGUGUGUCUGCAGGGAGGACUUUUCAAGCCCCAGGGCUGGAUGCUGCACACAAUCCCAGCUCCCAUGGCAGGGCGAUGACCCAAAAUCUGGCACAGAAGGUGGCUGUUCCAGGAAGAAGCAGCGGCUCAGUGGCAGCCUCUUCUGCAGGAGAACAGGCAGUUCCAGGCACUGGCACAGCAGACGUUAUCAAUGAAACAGGAAUAUAUGCCCCGGAUCCAGUGCGCUUCCCAAGAAUUGUCUGCCCCCAGGAUGUGCUCAGGACCGGCAUGAUAGGCACGGUGUUGACAGUGUUCACUGUGCCACUUGUGCUGAUAGGCUGCUAUCUUGGCAUUCGUAAGCUGUACGAGCUCAGACGGUCAGUUGUUGAUUUUUCUCCACAGUUUUCUUAUAACUCUACUUCUGGCAUUGGUAGCAUGACUGGGAGUCAUGCUACUGUGGAGUUGUGGCCAGUCCAUUGUUGUCCAAAGAACUCUGCUGAGGGUUCUGCUGCUGCCCAGUGCUUCCAUUGGCCUCUUAAUUGCUGGGCCUUGUUCUGUG